Poecile atricapillus (Black-capped chickadee) is the source of this 412-nucleotide long non-coding RNA. RefSeq lists it as uncharacterized. The record is from RefSeq and is a predicted model, not a curated record. Lineage: Eukaryota; Metazoa; Chordata; Aves; Passeriformes; Paridae. The transcript has 3 exons.
AUUGGGGGGGACGCGGCAGAGGGCCGGCGCGCGGAGCGGAGCCCCGCCCCUUCGCUGCCAUCUUUGUUAAGGGAAGGGCGCUCGCGAGCGCUCGCCGCGGGCGCCAUCUUGGGAAGGGGCAGAUCCUCACACCUGUGGGCGGGCGGGGCCGCCGAGCCCGGGCUCCGCCUUCCACACGGCUGUGGCGGGGCGGUGUGCGGCAGCGCAAGGUCAUCAGGUGUAAGUGAUAAGCCUGAUGAGGUGAGGAGGAGCACCUGAUACAGGAAAGGUCACAGCAGGCCUGGAAUGCCAAUGCCAGCUGCGUACCAGGAGCUGUCCCUACUGCUCGCUGAUGCCGUGCUCCCAUGCCACCCUGGCCUGCUCUUCCUUUCCACCACUCACUGGUUGGGGCACCUUACGAUGCAACGGGCGG